Solanum stenotomum is the source of this 566-nucleotide long non-coding RNA. RefSeq lists it as uncharacterized. The record is from RefSeq and is a predicted model, not a curated record. Lineage: Eukaryota; Viridiplantae; Streptophyta; Magnoliopsida; Solanales; Solanaceae. The transcript has 2 exons.
CCUAAAUUUCAACAGAGUUACUAUUAUUAUACCAACAUAAGACAGAGGCCUACUGAUAAAACUCUUGGUACACCAGAUCAAGCAAUGAAAACCAAAGAGGAACAUAAAUCUAAUACACAACACCUAAACACUCAUAAAUAAAAUUAGAAGCAAAAUGGACAGACAAUAAAUGAAGGUGUUCAUCACCCAGCAUUUUAAUUGGACAAUGCUUAUGCCAUGUAGAUUGGAAAUUGCCAGAUAAUUUCAAAGAUAGGAGAGCUGACCUGCCAGUGUAGUUCUCGUUGAUCCUUGGAAAAUCAACAGCAGACUCCGAUAAUUUCUUCUGUGAAGCUGCACCACUCUUCAUGUUAAAUCUCAUUUCAUAUCUGUAAAAACAAAAUCCUGAUCAAGAACUGUGGCAGAUAUAAACAAGGUCAAUUUGAACAAUCAUUGUCAGAGUCUCCUAACAGCUCAUUGCAGAAAUUCUCAAGCUUUUCUUUAACAGCUCCAUUGACCAUGUCUAGGUCUGGGUUCAUAAGGCGGCAGGUAAUCAACACGACUUCAUCUCCCUCCUCCCAAGCAUUGGC